UUGGAGGGCAAGUCUGGUGCCAGCAGCCGCGGUAAUUCCAGCUCCAAUAGCGUAUAUUAAAGUUGUUGCAGUUAAAAAGCUCGUAGUUGAAUUUCGAGACCGGUUUACUGGUCGUGCUUUUGUACGUACUGGUAUUAUUGGUUUCUCCUUUCUGACGAAUCAUAAUGCCAUUAAUUUGGUGUUUUGGGGAAUCAGGACUGUUACUUUGAAAAAAUUAGAGUGUUUAAAGCAGGCUCACGCUUGAAUACAUUAGCAUGGAAUAACGAAAUAGGACGUUUGAUUUUAUUUUGUUGGUUUCUAGGAUCGACGUAAUGAUUAAUAGGGAUAGUUGGGGGCAUUAGUAUUCAAUUGUCAGAGGUGAAAUUCUUGGAUUUAUUGAAGACUAACUACUGCGAAAGCAUUUGCCAAGGAUGUUUUCAUUAAUCAAGAACGAAAGUUAGGGGAUCGAAGACGAUCAGAUACCGUCGUAGUCUUAACCAUAAACUAUGCCGACUAGGGAUCGGAUGAUGUUAAUUUUUAAUGACUCAUUCGGCGCCUUACGGAACAGUC
RNAcentral lists this ribosomal RNA (549 nucleotides) under uncultured Glomeraceae. RNAcentral describes it as "SSU rRNA". It matches the Rfam family "Eukaryotic small subunit ribosomal RNA", at positions 548 to 1105 of the family's 1831-position model. Lineage: Eukaryota; Fungi; Glomeromycota; Glomeromycetes; Glomerales; Glomeraceae. The record is from RNAcentral.